GUCACUCAUUGGUCACUCAUUGGUCACUCAGGGUCACUCAGUGGUCACUCAGGGUCACUCAGUGGUCACUCAGGGUCACUCAGGGGUCACUCAUUGGUCACUCAUUGGUCACUCAGUGGUCACUCAGUGGUCACUCAGGGUCACUCAUUGGUCACUCAGUGGUCACUCAGGGGUCACUCAGUGGUCACUCAGUGGUCACUCAGGGGUCACUCAGGGGUCACUCAGUGGUCACUCAGGGGUCACUCAGGGGUCACUCAGGGGUCACUCAGGGGUCACUCAGGGGUCACUCAGGGGUCACUCAGGGUCACUCAGUGGUCACUCAGGGGUCACUCAGGGGUCACUCAGGGUCACUCAGGGUCACUCAGUGGUCACUCAGGGUCACUCAGGGGUCACUCAUUGGUCACUCAGGGGUCACUCAGGGGUCACUCAUUGGUCACUCAGGGGUCACUCAGGGGUCACUCAGGGGUCACUCAGGGUCACUCAGGGUCACUCAUUGGUCACUCAGUGGUCACUCAGUGGUCACUCAGGGUCACUCAGGGUCACUCAGUGGUCACUCAGUGGUCA
This is a long non-coding RNA of Serinus canaria (Common canary), 564 nucleotides long. RefSeq lists it as uncharacterized. The record is from RefSeq and is a predicted model, not a curated record. Lineage: Eukaryota; Metazoa; Chordata; Aves; Passeriformes; Fringillidae. The transcript has 3 exons.